Poecilia reticulata (guppy) is the source of this 8597-nucleotide non-coding RNA. NCBI's taxonomy places the organism in Eukaryota, Metazoa, Chordata, Actinopteri, Cyprinodontiformes, Poeciliidae. The record is from RefSeq and is a predicted model, not a curated record.
AUGUAAAACAAAUUAUUUUGCCCAUGUGACAUGCAAUUUUAUAUUUUCUGUUCGAAAAGGAGCAGGUAGAAGAUACAUCUUAUAAUAUCCUGCCCCUUUCAUACUAGUCAAUGUAUUACCAAUACAUUGACUAGUAGCAUCAAAUCAGAUACUGGGGUUAAAGAUAAAAACUUAAAAAAUUAUUCAGACCCUGCUGUGGCAGAGGCAGGGACCUGUCUGAGCAGCAGCUAGGUUUAAGUAGACUGGGAACACUGGGCUCAGGUGUUCCCAGUUAACGGUUGAUUCAAGACCUACUUCCACUCCCAUUCCAGCUGAGAAACAGGCAAACAUAAAGACAGGGAAAAACAGCUGUCAGAUGACAUAUUUAUUUAAAAUGUUAUUUCAUUAAAGACUUGCAUACAUAAUUAUUGAAUAAUUUAGAUGAUUAAAUUGUGGCACUUUUGCCCAGAUUAUACCGACAUUUUAACAGAUGGCAAAAUAGUUCCAACCAGCAUGGUCUUUGUGAAAUUCUAAUGAGACCUUUGACCUCUCACUCUUAACCGUCCAGCACCAAACAACAGCCUGGCUCCACAAUCCGAUGAUGUUUCUGCCACAGGGUGUCAGCCCUCACCUGCUCAGAUCCUUUUGAUGAGGACUUGCUGUCAAAGUCAGAAGUGACCCUCCUGGUGCGUUAUUAUCUUCUAACAUAACUUUAAUAUUCUCUUUCUUUACGGCAAUGCCGUGUGCUUCUGUGUACAAGUUUGCGGGCACAGGCGUUGAAGUUUACACUUUCAUUAAAACUUUGCCAAGUGUUUCUACAGCAACAAGCUGCUCUCCUGCAGACCGUCACCCUCUCCGCCGUGUGGCCUGGUCCUUUGCCGUUUCAGCGUCUUCUUUCAUACUGUAAGCUGUAUAUCCCGCCCACCCUCCUCCGGACCCUCCUCUACUCACUCACUCCUUCCUCCGUGCUGCUCGGUGUGGGCGUUGAGCUCAGGCUGUUCUUUCCAUUUCGGUACUGUAUUGUCAAUGCAUUGUUGCAUCCGAUCCAGUGAGGAUGCUGCGGGAAUACUCUAUAACUCUCUCUCGCUGCCUGUCUCUCUUUCUUCAUCCCUCCUCCCUCCCGUCCCUGGGAAAAAGAGCCAGUUGCUAGGUAACAGUUAAUUGUCAAGAAGUAGUUACAUGUGUUUCGCUGCAUCCCGAGCUUGUUGGGUUCCGCGUAGGAGCCGAACAAGUGAGCAAAAUAAACUGUUUUCCUUCCAUCCUUUGAGAAGAAGAUGAAAGUUUCGAGAGAGAUCAAAACAGCUUUCCUCCAGCACCCCACCUUGUUCUAUGUCACCACCCAGGACUGCAGAUGUCAAGGAGUCUCCCACCCAAUCUCUGUGCAAGGCAUUGGUACUUUUUAUCCAACCUGCUGGUUUCUUUAAAUAACUCCUGUUGCUGGACAAGGCUUUCACAGUGAAGGGUGUUUUUACCCAAACCAUCUUGUCCGUUGUCGGAGAGUCUUCCAAGAAGAGAGUCCAGGUUAGUGUAGCAGACAGAGGGAAGCAAAUGAAACAUUAAAAGAGCAAAAUAUUAUUAGCUGUAAUCUAAUAGCUAACAGCUUAUCUAUUAAAUUAAAGAUUUAAAUGAUUUUUACUAAAACCAGUAAAAAAUCAUUUUACUGGUUUUAGUAAAAAUGAAAAUUUUACUAAAACCAUUUUAUCUCAUUCCUCUCAGAAAGCGUACAGCAGAAAUUUAAGCAAACAAUUGUGUUUGUGCAAAGUAAUUGACAUUGGGUUUUUUUAUACUCGUCAUCUUUUAGAUUUAUUUAUUCAAACUAAAUUUUCAGUAAAAAUCUAUGGAAAACUAGUUACAAAUUCUUAAUAAAUCAGUUUUUAAACAUUUAAAGUAAUGUUUUGUAAGACAAAACAUUACUAUUUUGUUUUACAAAAGAGUAAAUCUGAAUCACUGUAUGUGAUGUCUCUUAGUGUUUAUAAUGCAGUACCAGCUGAUUUUAAAGCUGAGAAACAUAGUUACAUUUGAAUGAUUUCUGACUGUUCAGACUUGACGGUGGCAGCCACAUGUUCCAACAAUUUACCAGGUUUAGCUGAGAGUACAGACAUUCAGAGAUUAUAAUGAAACAUAGUUAAAGGCUCAAAAACGAAUCACUUAUAAAACAAAAACAUUUCCCGCCGUCUGAACACAUGGAACCACAAUCCUGAAGCAAUCAUCACAUGCACUCUGGAGUGGUUCUGGAAAAUCUUUCUAAUAAACUCUGGACCUCAAUGUCUGUCAAAUACAAUGGCAACUCAAUCACACAAACAAACCCAAAAUGAAAUCCUGAAGCGAGUUGAGACAGAGUUGAGGAAGGAAAAGAAGAUUGUUUUUCUAAUGCAAUGAAAAUUUCCCUUUAGAAAUCAGAUAGUGAAAUGUCCAACUUAUCAAUAGUCAUAUUACCCACACAAGUUUUUAAUGGAACCAGUGAAUGUUUCAUUAACGGCAAAUGCUACUAUCUAGUUUAUCUCUUGUUUUAAGGAAGGUUUUAGUCAUAGAAUCAAAAUAAGGUUCCUAAUUUGGAAGUGAAAUGUCUAAAACUGGCUAUAAUUACUUAUUGGAAAGAUUUGCUGUAUUCCGUAAUACAAAAACCAAUGACGGUCCUGCACACUUCAACAGGAUUCUAUCAAGGCAGAAUAAAAAUGCUGGCAGUUUCCUAAAAGCAUCCAAGGUUUUGUUGGAUGGUCAUUUUACAUACAAGCUCAAAUAGAAAUAAAACCGUCACUUACACUUUGGGUACAUUUCAACAAGCUUCUGGCAUCAUUCUCUCUGUUUGAAAACCUCUGUUCCCUUUAGAAUUAGUUAAGCUAAUGUAAAUUAGCCAGUUUCAUAGCACAGGUCCACCCUUCGAAGCAUAGUGGAUACAUUCUGAAUAUGGUUGAGGUCAGUGCUUGAGGUCGACCACUCAGGAAGUUUAGUGUUAGCCUUCCCAAAGUUUUGAUGUUUAUGAUCACCUAAAUGUGGCGAAUGUUUCACUUUGAGAGGAGGGGAUUAGUUAAUGUACUGUAUUCAAGAUCCACCAAGGCUCAAGCCAUCCUUUGGGUCCUGCUGGAACACCAGUAUCAACAGUGGAAUAGAUCUGACAUAAGAUUUACUUUGAAGGGUUUGCUCCAACGUGAGCACAAUUAAAAGCUUGAAGCUGCAGACACAAGAAGCCAAAUGCUUCUUCAGGAAAGAGUUUUGCUCAGAACAGACAAAUCUUGAGCUGUUUGGCUCCAGCAAUCACCAACAUGUUCAGAGGAGUCAAGACAAGGCUUAUUUUUUAGGCCCAUGAAAACUGUGGCAACUGGUUUGCAUGGUGGUGGCAGCACCAUGCUAAGGGUCUUUGCUUUUACUUUGUUAAAAGUGGAUGGAAUAAUAAAAAAGUAAGAUUACAUCCAACAUUUUUAACUUUAGCUCAAAGCAACAACUUCGUUUUUGUUUUUUUUCUAGACACAGCAAACCCAACAAAAAGAAACUGUGUUUGGGGUAGAUCAAGCUUCUGGAAAGAUAUUGAACAUUUAUGAGCUGUGGGAGACCAUGAAACAUCUCGAACAAUCUCAACCAUAUCUGAUGAAAAGAGUGGUCAAAUUCAGCCAGAAUAUUGGCAAAAAGCUCAUGGUUUUUCUGCAGUUUGCUGAAGGACUUUUAUCUAAGUAAUAGUGGGGUACGUGUAUAUUUGUGGUUAUAUUGAUACUUUUAGCCUUAAAGAAAAUCCACAAUGAAUUUAAACACUAGCAUCCAACUCUUCCCUGUAAGAAAACAUUGCAAAAAUCAUUCCAUCACAAGAAAAACAGUGCAAUAAAUCCUUCCAAUCCCAAUAUAAGUCUGAUUUUAUAUAAACUGCCCCAGAACUGUAAGUGAACUGCAAACAUUUUUUUUACAGUAUUUUCUGUUAAAAAAUAUAUACACACAUGUAAUUUUACAAAACCACAUAAACAUUUCAUUUCAGUUUCACAGUAUGAAAAAUGGUACAAAUAACAUUUUAUUUGUUUGCGAUUUACAAGUUAUAUGAAGGUUUGAACAAUAUUACACAUGAUCAAAACAAUGAAAAGGCGACUCAGUUGAGAUUUCUUAUUUUUUAUUAAUACUCAACACCUUUAUUCCAAAGAGACAGAAGAAUAAUAUUUCUCAGCACUUAUUUUCACAUUGACUGUGUUUAAUCUCGUUUUCAAUAUUACUAAAUAUUCAAUCAAAUCUGAAAUACUCUCUUCACACAAGUAAUAUCUCUCCAUACAAAAGAAUGCAAGGAUGAACUAGAGUUUUCUUGUAUGUACACUUUUCACAAUCUGUACAGCUCAGGGAUGAAGUUCGAUCCUCUGCAGCAAAACACACAAAAAAAAACAAAGACUUUUCUUUUUUAAGACAAAGAGGGGAAAAUAGAACGGCUCUGUAAAAAUGUCAAUUGUGCUUUCUGUUUACCAAUAAAUGAAGGUCCUGUACAUUUUUUUUUCUUUGAGAAAAACAUCCUUUUUUUAAAGACCAAAUCAAGAACAAAAUGAAAACACAGACCUUCACUCAUUAAAUAUGUGCACUAAGUGUAAUAAUAAAUCAUUGCACAAUUCCUGGCCUGAAGUCGUUACAAAAGCACUUUUGUUGAAGGGAUGUUGACUAAUCAAAGAUUUAUCCCAAAUAGAUGUACUCUGUUCAUUUUCUUUACAGUUAUUAUCAAAAGUUCAUGAAUGUGAGGUAAGAUAUUUACAUCUCAUUUUAUUGUACAUGUACAACAAACAGUGGUCUCACUCACUCUGCCUCUCUUCCAUAUGAGCACACACAGAGGUAAUCAAGCGUAUGUAUUCAGGCACAUACAAUAACAAAUAAUGAGGUUUUUUUUUUAGCUUUUUUUAAAAAAGGGAGAAAAGCAAAAAACAAAAAAUAAGCAGAGGUUAUGAAAAAGAGCCACUUUCUUAGUGACAAAGAAUCAAACCAAGACCUCAGCUUUGAAGAAAAGUGUGAAACAGUCAAGAAAACUGGUAUUUAAAUCACCACAAUAUGACCUUUUUCAUAAAAAAUGUUUCAAUUAAUUCAGCCAUAUUUGUAUGCACUUCAGCAUGAAUUUCAGUCUUGGAUUGGUGUUUUCUCUUGAAAGAAAAAUAAAAUCAAACACUCACACACAUCUACAGAACUGCACGGAUCAUCGGCAUCAGAAUGAAAUAAGAAAAAGAAACACAUACAUGCAAACCCAUACAAACACUAGAGACCUUAAGUAUCAUACAUACUGACUUGUCAGCCAAAGAGAAGAAAAGUCUAGAAAGGUUCUGAGUGGGCUUUACAAGUUAAUAUCAUUCAGUCACAUUGUGGUUCUGUAUUAGAUCUAGAGCGGGUAAAAUGACUGAAUCUGCAUGCUAAAUGGCAAAAGGAGACUGAAAAUAUGUAUUUAUUUUUCUCUAAUUGUUAGUAAUUUGGCAAUUGUAGAUUUGGUAGGUGUCAAAAUCCUAAAAGCCAUACCGUUUUUUUUUUUUUCCUUUUAUACAAAAAGUUUAUAUAACUCAUUCUCAUAUUCUCCCCAAAAAGUCAACAGAUGACUUUUUGUUGACUUUCAAAUCCAAGCCAAUUUUGGCUUGGAUUUGAAGCCAAAAUUCAUCCUUUCUCAAAGUCUAAAUAUGUGACAGCUUUACAGUUCAGCAAAGGACGGUUUAAGGCUAUAGCUUUUUAUAUUUUGGUAGCUAAAAAUAUUGGACCCACAACUUUGAACAAGCAGUGCAUUUUUGUAUUUGUGGGCAUAAUCUAUUGCCUGCAGUUAAUUCAGAAACUGAUUAUAGUUUUUUUUUAUGUGCUUAUUUGAAAUAAAGACUGUAAAAAGCACAAAAACAGCGAGUCAGGCUCAGUCUAAAAGGUAUCAAAAUGUCUGCGAGCUAUAUACUAUAUUUUAGUAAGCAAGUUGUGAUUUUUCCUGUUUGUUUUUUCCUUCCAGUGGCAUUGGACUAUAAAGCACUUCAAUGUUUAAUAGAUAAAAACAGAUCUUAUCAGCAUUUGGGUACUUUUUGGACAGUUAUUGCAAAGUUUCAGUUUAAGUCUACAGAGUUUCUAUUUAGUCUGAAAAAUGACUUUUCACUAUAGUAUCUUUAAAAUCUGGAUACGUGUUUAAAAAAUAUGUAUGGAGAAAUAUUUAUAUAUCCAUCCAUUCAGUCUGUUUUUUUUUUUUUUUUGCAGUUUUCCAUAUUUAAAGCCUGUUUCCAACAGGAAUGACAUAAAUUCAUAGUGAAGUUUUUUUUUUCUUUUUAAAGCACUGAGAUCUCUGAGAGUUUGAGUCUGAAAGAUUACAUCUGAGCAAGGGAAUAGUAUAUAUGCAGACGGACUGCAAGCCCAUCACAAGGCGUGACAUUUUUGCACCUCUGAUCGUACAGUAAAAACUUUUCUGCAACUUAUUUUUGUAUUCAAUGCGUGUACAGUGAUUUGCCGACCUCUGAUAAUGCUGCUAGCAACUUGUUAAUUACUUACACGUUGUCCCUUUUAAGUAGAUGUUUCUCAAAUCAGAAAAGGAAAUAAAACCUUAAUGGAUUCCAUGCUGAUUUGAAACAGACUGUCAGGCAGCUGUUUUGUUUCUUAUGGUUUAUGUCUACAGUUCUGUCUGCUAUUACAGAAAAAGUCCUUGUUUUUCCCCAGAAAGCUUACUGAGCCUUCUCAGUAAGGCUCAGCUUACUGAGCCUUCUCAGUAAGGCUCAGUUUACUGAGCCUUCUCAGUAAGGCUCAGUUUACUGAGCCUUCUCAGUAAGCUUUCUGACUCUGACUCUUGUCUUCUGUGCGGCCUUGUAUCACUUUUGUUAAAGGUGGCAUCUUUACAGGACUUACACUUUUCCACUUUUCCAGACAAUGUUCGAUUUGUCCUCACACUAACUAUGUAAUCCAGUAUAGAGUGGGUCAACAAUUGUGUAACAGAUGUUUUAUUUCAACUAGAAAUGACUCUAAGGUUAAUUUAACACAACAGUAACUCUUACCCUUGUUUUGUACCCACUCAUUGCCAGUGGUCCUAACCUAAUUCCAUGUUACAAGCCAAUGCUUACCAGUUUAUUUCUCCUUUGGUUAAAUAACUUGUAAACAUUAUAAAAAGUAUAAAAAUAAAAAAUCACAAACCUGCUCACUCCUCACAUACCCUAAUUGCUUUUUUUUUUUGAGGAUUUUAUUCUACACCACAUUCCCAUUGAUUGUGUUUCUGAUUCCAAUUUUGGUCAUAAUUUGUGAAGCACAAGAAAUUACGACCCCAGAAUAAACCCCAAAUAACUCACAGUCCUGACAGACACUGUUAGACAAGAGCUGCUGCACAAAGUGACACGACCAGCCACAUGGCUUCUGCAACCUCUGGCACUGAAGCCACACAAGACUCUUAAAAUAAUUUAGGGUAACCUAUUUUUCAUAUAAUCACGCUAAUAAAAAAAGACUAAUUGUAGCAGAUUUUUAGUGCUUGAAAUAUUUUUCUGUUUUUUUUUUUUUGUUUAUUUUUUCAUUAGGUUUCAAACUGAGUAAAACCUAAAGACACAUUUCAGAUAUUUUAUAUUAGAGCUCUUACAGAGAAAUUGGAAUGAGUCAAAAUUGGUAUUGGCGGGUAAAAGCAUUAUAAAAACUAGAGCCUAGAAAAUGACAACAAUUUGAUUGUUUCAUCUGCAAAAGUAAACACUUUGCAGACACCGACUGAGGGAACAGCUAUGGUCUAUUUUUUACCAUUAUCUUCAAGAAUUGGGGACUAAUAAAGCAGUCAUUUUCUUAAAGAGUCAGUGGUGUUGAAGUCCCCCUCUCCCAGCACAGGACAAAUCACAAUGUUUGCUCAUCUGUUUUUCAAUUACACAACUUACAUUUGGAUCACUGCUUAUAUAUACUUGACAUAUAGGCAGCAAUAUUUUUGCUCUUUUUUUAACUUGCAAACAAAACUAUCUUAUUCAGUACUAAUUAGUAGACUUCAGAGGUGCUGGACGAGUCAUUUUACUAUCUUCAGAAAGAACCAGAAGGACUGUUGUCUCACUCUUUCCAGCCUUUAUUCCCAUACUGGCAUUUGGCUGUAGUAGCCUCGUUAUCUUUAUGUACUCUGAAGUUGCAAUGUGUCAUUGCAACUUCAAUGAGACAUUGCAACUAAGUAUUUCUGAUUUUACUUAAAAUAAAUGUGUAACAAUAUUUUUUUUGCAAGGUAUUAAAAACAAUAUGUAAUGCUAGAUCUCUGUGGUUUUCCAUAAAGCGGAUCAAGAUUAUAUUGGCGUUGGUAGUUUCUUUAUCAUUUCGUAUAAGGAGCUUGGGAUCAAUACAUUAUUUAAAUAAAAUAAGCCUCCCAUAGUUAUGUUAACGUUAAAAAUAAAGGAAUGUUGUAAAUAUAUUUCCUCUUGAUCUAAUGCCCAUGGUGUCUUUCAAUUUGUUCAUUGCAAGCUUAGUUUAAUGGCACCAGAUGAAACUAAAACUAUAAUAUUGAAUGGUUUUCUCGUGUGUCUUUGCUCCCAAAUCAGUUGACUGAUUGCGAGAGGAUCUUCCUAUCAAAAGAAAAUGGAUAGAAAAUCAGUGUAAGUCCCAUUAAGGCACAUCCAGCGCAAAUUGAGAAACCCUUUUGGUACUGGCGAAGCAAGUAACAAAAACCGCAAAUCAGUAUGAUGAUGUUGCUUCUGCAGUUGAAAAAAAAAAAAAAA